AUAGGAUAACGGAUGGGAAAUCACGCCAGUGGGACACCAACAGCACGUCGAGUUCAAAGAAGACCCUAAUUCACUCUGGGUCGGGACCUGCUGUGCUAACCAAGCUGCUUAGAAGACGAGGGAGCUUGGAUGCAUGUGGAGAGGACCAGACCAAAAUUCCUUCCCUACCAUGGUAGUCACCAGCCCUAUAUGGCUCCUCCCAGGAUCUAGACUGCCUGACUCUAGUUGACCAUUUGCACCUCUGGAUCUCUGUUCAUCUAGAUCUGAUAGCCGACCACAUAAUAGAACACAGAGAUGGCCAUGCUCUGUUUGUGAGGCCUUCAGACAUCGAUGGUCCAGCACAGCCACACCCCAUUCGUGAGGCCUUUAGAUACAGCUGAUCGGAGCUCA
RNAcentral lists this long non-coding RNA (390 nucleotides) under Mus spicilegus (steppe mouse). RNAcentral describes it as "lncRNA (ENSMSIG00000021322.1)". The record is from RNAcentral. Lineage: Eukaryota; Metazoa; Chordata; Mammalia; Rodentia; Muridae.